Molecule: ribosomal RNA, 465 nt
Filed under: Vreelandella stevensii
Lineage: Bacteria; Pseudomonadati; Pseudomonadota; Gammaproteobacteria; Oceanospirillales; Halomonadaceae
Description: partial 16S ribosomal RNA
Rfam family: Bacterial small subunit ribosomal RNA
Source: RNAcentral
CCUACGGGCGGCUGCAGUGGGGAAUAUUGGACAAUGGGGGGAACCCUGAUCCAGCCAUGCCGCGUGUGUGAAGAAGGCCCUCGGGUUGUAAAGCACUUUCAGUGAGGAAGAACGCCUGGUGGUUAAUACCCAUCAGGAAAGACAUCACUCACAGAAGAAGCACCGGCUAACUCCGUGCCAGCAGCCGCGGUAAUACGGAGGGUGCGAGCGUUAAUCGGAAUUACUGGGCGUAAAGCGCGCGUAGGUGGCUUGAUAAGCCGGUUGUGAAAGCCCCGGGCUCAACCUGGGAACGGCAUCCGGAACUGUCAAGCUAGAGUGCAGGAGAGGAAGGUAGAAUUCCCGGUGUAGCGGUUAAAUGCGUAGAGAUCGGGAGGAAUACCAGUGGCGAAGGCGGCCUUCUGGACUGACACUGACACUGAGGUGCGAAAGCGUGGGUAGCAAACAGGAUUAGAUACCCGUGUAGUC